GAUGAACGCUGGCGGCGGGCCUAAUACAUGCAAGUCGAGCGAACAGAUAAGGAGCUUGCGCCUUUGUCGUUAGCGGCGGACGGGUGAGUGACACGUGGGUAACCUACCUAUAGGACUGUAAGAACUCCGGGAAACCGGGACUGAUGCCGGAUAACAUGUAUAACAGCAUGGUUCUGAAGUGAAAUAUGAUUUUUCUAGCUAUUGUAGAUGGAGCCGGGCCGUAUUAGGUAGGUGGGAAGGUAACGGCUUACCAAGGCAACGAUACGUAGCCGACCUGAGAGGGUGAUCAGCCCCACUGGAACUGAGCCACGGUCCAGACUACUCCGGGAGGCAGCAGAAGAGAAUCGUACACAAUGGGCGAAAGCCUGACGGAGCAAAGCCGAGUGAGUUAUGAAGGUCUUCGGAUCGUAAAACUAUGUUAUUAGGGAAGAACAAAUGUGUAAGUAACUGUGCCCGUCUUGACGGUACCUAAUCAAAAAGCCACGGCUAACUCCGUG
RNAcentral lists this ribosomal RNA (497 nucleotides) under uncultured bacterium. Its description in RNAcentral is "partial 16S ribosomal RNA". It matches the Rfam family "Bacterial small subunit ribosomal RNA", at positions 28 to 507 of the family's 1533-position model. The record is from RNAcentral.